GUGGAGGGUGACGCGAGACGAGAGGGCGAAAAGAGACGCGGAGGAAAAAUCCUCGGAGGAGGAGCCAACAGUCAUGGUAAUCUCGUCGAAAUGGAAACAUCGAUAAGAUUGUACCUGCAGCGUCGAACAGCGCACGUGCCAAGUUUUUUCUUCCGCUCGAGUCCAGGAAAACACGUAUAUAUUUAUCGUUGAGAUGCGCAGCGGAAGAAGGGAAUAAAACAGAAUAUUAAAGCAGAACUUUUAGAUUGAGAUAUCACACACAUCGCGAUUUCUGCACCUACGUUCAUCGAUAAACCGCGCUGAUAAAUAAUUCAGAUCUGAAACAUCUAACAAAAUAAUAACAAUCACGUUCCAAAGUAUCAGCCUUUUUGCAAUUUCAGGAUGUCUACUGUCAAAUCUUGUAAACAAGUUCCCUGGAAAGUUCCUGAUCUUCCAGAUAUUUUUGUUCAAAAUUCCAGGUAAAG
Molecule: long non-coding RNA, 464 nt
Organism: Cataglyphis hispanica
Lineage: Eukaryota; Metazoa; Arthropoda; Insecta; Hymenoptera; Formicidae
Exons: 3
Source: RefSeq, a predicted model, not a curated record